AUCCCAUGAUGAGGACACUUACGAACCAACUCCUUGAAUCUCUCCCAUACCUCAUAUAAGGACUCGUCAUACAAUUGUUGAAAAGUACUUUCUCAUUUUGCAAUU
Molecule: small nucleolar RNA, 105 nt
Organism: Gossypium raimondii (Peruvian cotton)
Lineage: Eukaryota; Viridiplantae; Streptophyta; Magnoliopsida; Malvales; Malvaceae
Rfam family: Plant small nucleolar RNA R71
About the family: R71 is a member of the C/D box family of snoRNAs containing the C (UGAUGA) and D (CUGA) box motifs. Multiple nearly identical copies of this snoRNA have been identified in Arabidopsis, and it is thought to function as a 2'-O-ribose methylation guide for 18S ribosomal RNA.
Source: Rfam